This is a long non-coding RNA of Piliocolobus tephrosceles (Ugandan red Colobus), 1276 nucleotides long. RefSeq lists it as uncharacterized. The record is from RefSeq and is a predicted model, not a curated record. NCBI's taxonomy places the organism in Eukaryota, Metazoa, Chordata, Mammalia, Primates, Cercopithecidae. The transcript has 2 exons.
CGAGGACCGCAGGCAGGAGCAGUAGAGACCUGAGUCUUCUGGGACUACUGGGGUGAUGUGGGCGUUGUCCGUCUGCCUCAAGUCAUUACUUCGCAGAGAGGUCGGCUUGUCGCUUCUCUCUUCACAGGAGCAGCCUUGGGGCUCCAAAGAAAGCAUUCUUUCAGGAUCACGCCAAACUUUUGACAACAGUCCGUGGAUCGGCUGUAGGAGAGCCCGCCUCCUCUGUCUUAUGAUUGGUUGUUAGGCCUCGUGGGGCGCGGUCUCCCUGUGGCUGGUUGGCUAAUAGAUGGCGCAGCGGGCCAAUUAGCUUGAGUGAGACAGCGGGUGUUUCUGGGAGUUGUGGUCCGCAGGGCUGCCUCGCUUCCGGGUGGGAGGGACUGGCGCCGCGGUGGGAAGGUGCAGAGCAUUCAGGCCAGCCCCGCGCGGCACACGACUGUGGUGUCUGGUGACUGCUGGUUGGGAGGCCCCGGAAACACUUCUCCUCCCCUAGGCUGGAGGGCACUAGGAGGUCGCAGGUGCUGAGUUGCCAGGGCCUUUGGGCUGUGCUGAAGGGAAAAAGCACAGCCACUGUCGGGAGCGUGUGCUGCGGAGGUGGUUGCCGUCGUGAUGUUCGCUCCGUCUAGCCCCUGCCGGGGAUGCAGCCAACCAACCCUCAACAGCCGGCGGCGUUCUCUGGCCCGGCGCGGAGCUGAGCACCACUGAGCCCUCAUCGUAGGGCACCGAGUUCCGGACUCCUCCAGCCGCUUGUCCAGGCCCCUCCUGCCUUAGCACGGAGCUCCCUUGAUUGCUCCAAACAGCCCAGACCGGCGCCUUUUUUGGACGAUUUAAAACGGGGCAAUCCGUUGCCAGCGAUUGGCUGGCAAUGGUCACAUGACCCUGUACGGGCCAGGGAGAGGUAGGAGCCGCUGACUGUACCUGGUGCCUGAGGCCACUCCAGUGGUCCCCUCUGGGAGGUGAUGCUUCUGUGCAAAAGCAGCCUGUGAAAGAAUGUCAAGGUCAGCGGAAGAGAGGGCACACGCCUUCCAAGGAGGUGGUGUGGGUUGGGACCCAGUGUCCUGGAAGGGACCUCCUUCAGGCGAGAACUCUUGAAGCCAGAUAGCAUGGAAGAACCUGAGUAUAGAACUUGACACCAAGGAAAGCUCCUCUGUGUCCUUAGUUUCUUAGAUAUGAAAUGUGAACUACAAAUGACAGCAGAAAAUUAACUCCAACUGGACUUGGAGGAUAAAUACACAUACACACACAAUACUAUUUACAUAUAAAACAUUGUGACUCAAAA